Molecule: small RNA, 618 nt
Filed under: Pongo abelii (Sumatran orangutan)
Lineage: Eukaryota; Metazoa; Chordata; Mammalia; Primates; Hominidae
Description: processed transcript
Source: RNAcentral
UUUUGUGAUUUUUAAAUAAAGUUUGGGAAAUGGCACUUCGUAAUUUUACUUGAAGAGUAACAGUUUUAAAAGCUAUAGAAAGUCUUAAGAUUAAAAAAACUUGUAAAAUUUUAAGCUAGCCUUUCCCAAAUUCAUGAUUCUAAAAUCCUUUGUAUGCAGAACUUAUUAAUAUCUUCAGAAAUAUAGUUUAAGAAGUACUGUUUUAAGAGGUUGGGAGUCAUAGGAGAGUUGGCCCUUUCCCUUACUGCUUUUACAGACUAUUCUUCUCUACCUAGACCAGAAGCCCCUGGUCCCUCUGUCUCCCUUUCCCCUAUGCCACCCUCAGAGGUCGAACUCCAAAGUGGGAAGAUCAGUAGGGAACCUGAACCUGGGGCUGGCCCACAGGCCGAGGAGUCAGCAACUGUCUCAGUCCCUGCACCCAUGAGCCCCACAAGAAGACGAGCCCUGGACCAUUAUCUCACCCUUCGAAGCUCUGGAUGGAUCCCAGAUGGACGAGGUCGAUGGGUAAAAGAUGAAAAUGUUGAGUUUGACUCUGAUGAGGAGGAACCACCUGAUCUCCCCUUGGACUGAUACCCUUUUCCCAUUCAUUCACAAAUAAACUACAAUGGGUGCUGAGAA